This 75-nucleotide transfer RNA is filed under the name Gammaproteobacteria bacterium. RNAcentral's name for it is "tRNA-Ile". It matches the Rfam family "tRNA". From Rfam's summary of the family: Transfer RNA (tRNA) molecules are approximately 80 nucleotides in length. The record is from RNAcentral. Lineage: Bacteria; Pseudomonadati; Pseudomonadota; Gammaproteobacteria.
ACCAGCUUAGUUUAAUUGGCAAAACGACGGACCGAUAAUCCGUUAAUCUGGGAUCGUGGCCCGGAGCUGGUACCA